This 323-nucleotide small RNA is filed under the name Arabidopsis thaliana (thale cress). RNAcentral's name for it is "ATSL085440". The record is from RNAcentral. Lineage: Eukaryota; Viridiplantae; Streptophyta; Magnoliopsida; Brassicales; Brassicaceae.
CAGAAAAUGAUUUCACAAAAAAAAGAGUGUUCAUGUAGUUGUAUUACAUUUAAGAUCGAGUCUAGAGUGUUUCAUUUAGGAUUGUUGCAUAUGCAUCGGGGAUAAUGAUGAGAUAGCCUUGUAAGCAUUUUGGUUCACCGGAUAAACUCAGUGCCCUCGUUGCUAGUUGUCUGUUGCGUAGUCAAUGAAUUUGAAAAUAAACUGAACCAUGCCUAGAUUGCUCUAUCAAUUUGAACCUGAAUCUGAUCUUUAAUUAUCAUGUCUGCAUCAAAUUUGAACUCAUGGAUACCCUAAAAUACUUGGAUUUUCUUAUUCAUUUUGAU